This 511-nucleotide ribosomal RNA is filed under the name Panorpa claripennis. RNAcentral describes it as "partial 16S ribosomal RNA". Lineage: Eukaryota; Metazoa; Arthropoda; Insecta; Mecoptera; Panorpidae. The record is from RNAcentral.
AUGUAAGAAUUUAAAGGUCGAACAGACCUAAACUUUGAACUUCUACACCCAAAAAUAACUCUUAAUCCAACAUCGAGGUCGCAAUCUUUUUUGUCGAUAAGAACUCUUAAAAAAAAUUACGCUGUUAUCCCUAAGGUAACUUAGUCUUAUAAUCAGUAAAACUGGAUCAAUAAUUCAAUAAUUUUUGUAAUUUUAUAAAAAGAGUUUAAUUAAUCUUCCUGUCACCCCAACAAAAUAUUUAUUUUAAUAAAAUUUAAAUACUUCUAUAAAUAAACUAUUAUAUAAAUAUAAAGCUCUAUAGGGUCUUCUCGUCCUUUAAUUAAAUUUAAGCCUUUUAACUUAAAAGUUAAAUUCUAAUUUCAUUUAAAUUGAGACAGUCAAUACCUCGUUCAAUCAUUCAUUCUAGCCCUCAAUUAAAAGACUAAUUAUUAUGCUACCUUUGCACGGUCAAAAUACCGCGGCCCUUUAAAUAUUCAGUGGGCAGAUUAGACUUUAAAUUAUUUUCUAAAAG